Molecule: long non-coding RNA, 981 nt
Filed under: Anas platyrhynchos platyrhynchos (common mallard)
Lineage: Eukaryota; Metazoa; Chordata; Aves; Anseriformes; Anatidae
Description: lncRNA (ENSAPLG00000018681.1)
Source: RNAcentral
GCUGAAAUACUCCAUGCUGGACCUGUGCCUUGAGCUUAACGUCUUGUGAAGGAAGCUGCAAGGGAAGAUCAUCUUUCAUUUGGAGGAAGGAGAAGUUUCACAGCUGUGAGGAAACAGUUACAGAGACAAGACUUGCUGAAAUGAAAACGAACUAAUUAUCAUGGAACAUGAUUUUUCUACAAGUUAUUUGGGUGCGAGAGUUAACCAGCUAUUGGCUUUAGGGCCUCUGGUUCUUGCAGCUUUCUGACAGUGUUUUGUGGAGCAAAUGGAUAACCUGUCCUGAAGCCACUUCAGAUGAGAUAUCAGAGACUCAACGUUUACCCUUCAAGCCCUCUAUUGACAUGAAGUGCUGGAACAUUCCUUACAGAUGUGUCAGGCACAGGAAAUAUCCCCAAGAGGCUGAAAGGCUGCUAGACCGUUGGGACAUUAAACAAGCAUUCACAAACAGGAGCACCCUGGCACAGGAACCAGAUAAGUGCAUCCACCUUAAGCAUGGAAGGAAGCAAAGAGCUUCUCAGAGACUGACCCGCCAUGGUCAGGGGCAUGCCAGGGGCUGGUGUAUGGAAUUGAAAUGUCCAUAUGAAGAGGUUGUGGAACAAAUUGUUGAAGCAAGCAGUGAUAAGAAGCCAGGACUAGACAGUGACCUAGAAGUGCUAAUAGAAGUCAGGAAUAAAACAACUGUAAGCUGCUGUAGUCUUGUUUUAAACUACCAGAGGUCUGGAAGAUGGCACAUGUGAUGCCAUUUAAUAUCUUUUAAGGGAUUUCAAAGGCUUUUUGUGGGUUCCAGAGGAGAUCAUGGGAACUACAGGAUGAUAAAUCUGAUGUCUAUACCAGGCAAAACAAAUCAAAUGUCAUAAUGAACAGAAUUAAGAGAUCAAUGGUUUACUUGGGAGACAUGAAUUUGCUUUUCAUUUUAUAGUACUAAUAAUUUAAAGAGAUCUAACUCACAAUCUUUCACAUCAACAGCUAUGUAGACAGAGA